Actinia tenebrosa (Australian red waratah sea anemone) is the source of this 523-nucleotide long non-coding RNA. RefSeq lists it as uncharacterized. The record is from RefSeq and is a predicted model, not a curated record. Lineage: Eukaryota; Metazoa; Cnidaria; Anthozoa; Actiniaria; Actiniidae.
CAACACUAAGAAUGUCAGCAAAUAUUUACAUUAUGGUUGAAAAAAGAUUAUCUUCAGACUUCCAUGGCAGAUGUGAGAAUGAUUCGUAAAGACGAGGUAUCUCUUGUUUUUAUUUUCGCUAUGAAAAAGGUUUUUUCAAGAACAAGUACAUGAGUUACUCGCAAGUACUUACCUCAGGAGGGCUUAAACCCUAUUGCGAUAAUUAGCCUUCAGAGUAUUUUUGAUGGGAUACUAGAUAUACAAAUUGACAGUUUUCGACUUCAUUAUCCGGUACGAGAAUAAAGCGGCGUGWAGGUAAGAAAGGAGUUUAACAGCUGUUUUUAUUAAAUGUACACAAACGGCUUGGAAACAGCGGGAAUCAUACACCAAUGAAACAUUGAGAGCUUAUCUGUAAAAAACAAAGGCUUACGAGGUUCUCAACAGAAUUGCUUGAUAAGAUGUGUGAAGUGCCAUUGUCAUGGCAACUAAUCUUGUUUGAUGUAACAAUGUUAUUGAUGCUACCAUAAAAGCAAUCAGUAUUGGA